UACGGGGGGGGCAAGCGUUGUUCGGAAUUACUGGGCGUAAAGGGUUCGUAGGUGGCCAACUAAGUCAGACGUGAAAUCCCUCGGCUUAACCGGGGAACUGCGUCUGAUACUGGAUGGCUUGAGUUUGGGAGAGGGACGCGGAAUUCCAGGUGUAGCGGUGAAAUGCGUAGAUAUCUGGAGGAACACCGGUGGCGAAGGCGGCGUCCUGGACCAACACUGACACUGAUGAGCGAAAGCCAGGGGAGCAAACGGG
Molecule: ribosomal RNA, 253 nt
Filed under: uncultured bacterium
Lineage: Bacteria
Description: partial 16S ribosomal RNA
Rfam family: Bacterial small subunit ribosomal RNA
Source: RNAcentral